This 958-nucleotide ribosomal RNA is filed under the name Geastrum flexuosum. RNAcentral describes it as "eukaryotic LSU rRNA". It matches the Rfam family "Eukaryotic large subunit ribosomal RNA", at positions 1 to 940 of the family's 3401-position model. Lineage: Eukaryota; Fungi; Basidiomycota; Agaricomycetes; Geastrales; Geastraceae. The record is from RNAcentral.
UUUGACCUCAGAUCAGGUAGGACUACCCGCUGAACUUAAGCAUAUCAAUAAGCGGAGGAAAAGAAACUAACAAGGAUUCCCCUAGUAACGGCGAGUGAAGAGGGAAAAGCUCAAAUUUGAAAUCUGGCAGCUUACAGUUGCCCGAGUUGUAAUCUAGAGAAGUGUUUUCCGUGCUGGACCGUGUACAAGUCCUUUGGAACAAGGCGUCAUAGAGGGUGAGAAUCCCGUCUACGACACGGACUACCAGUGCUUUGUGAUACACUCUCAACGAGUCGAGUUGUUUGGGAAUGCAGCUCAAAAUGGGUGGUAAAUUCCAUCUAAAGCUAAAUAUGGGCGAAAGACCGAUAGCGAACAAGUACCGUGAGGGAAAGAUGAAAAGCACUUUGGAAAGAGAGUUAAACAGUACGUGAAAUUGUUGAAAGGGAAACGCUUGAAGUCAGUCGCGUCUUCAGAAAUUCAGCUUGGCUUCUGCCUGGUGUACUUUUCUGUUGGACGGGCCAGCAUCGGUUUCGGUCGCCAGAAAAAGGUGGGGGGAAGGUGGCACCUCCGGGUGUGUUAUAGCCUCUCAUCGUAUGUGGCGGCUGGGACUGAGGACUGCAGCACGCCUUUAUGGCCGGGGUUCGCCCACGUAACGUGCUUAGGAUGCUGGCGUAAUGGCUUUAAGCGACCCGUCUUGAAACACGGACCAAGGAGUCUAACAUGCCUGCGAGUAUUUGGGUGGUAAACCCAUAUGCGGAAUGAAAGUGAACAGUUGGGACUUCUGUCAUGGAAGGCACCGACGCCCGGACCAGACCUAUUGUGACGGAUCCGAGGUAGAGCAUGUAUGUUGGGACCCGAAAGAUGGUGAACUAUGCCUGAGUAGGGUGAAGCCAGAGGAAACUCUGGUGGAGGCUCGUAGCGAUUUUGACGUGCAAAUCGAUCGUCGAACUUGGGUAUAGGGGCGAAAGACUAAUCGAAC